UACGGGGGGGGUAAGCGUUGUUCGGAAUUACUGGGCGUAAAGGGCUCGUAGGCGGCCAACUAAGUCAUACGUGAAAUCCCUCAGCUUAACUGGGGAACUGCGUGUGAUACUGGAUGGCUUGGAUUUGGGAGAGGGAUGCGGAAUUCCAGGUGUAGCGGUGAAAUGCGUAGAUAUCAGGAGGAACACCGAUGGCGAAGGCAGGUCUCUGGGCUGACACUGACGCUCAUGCACGAAAGCGUGGGGAGCAAACAGG
This 253-nucleotide ribosomal RNA is filed under the name uncultured bacterium. RNAcentral describes it as "partial 16S ribosomal RNA". It matches the Rfam family "Bacterial small subunit ribosomal RNA", at positions 524 to 776 of the family's 1533-position model. The record is from RNAcentral.